Vigna radiata var. radiata (mung bean) is the source of this 479-nucleotide long non-coding RNA. RefSeq lists it as uncharacterized. The record is from RefSeq and is a predicted model, not a curated record. The transcript is spliced from 3 exons. NCBI's taxonomy places the organism in Eukaryota, Viridiplantae, Streptophyta, Magnoliopsida, Fabales, Fabaceae.
UGAGUGGGGAGCAAGCGAAGGGAAUUUGUGCGUCAGACCUCCGAGAGAGGGUCAAAAGAGAGAACAAAACCAAUCUUGACAAGAGAAAUUGUACCAGUGGAUUCUCAGGCAGCAGCAAGAAGGGUCUAGGGUACAUUGGAAUUGGAAGAANAUGACAACUAGUGAUUGACUAGUUAGUGAACAACUCACCAUUGGGCAGACCCGAAACCUCAAAUUUCUAGCUCUCNUCUCCAUAAUUUAUGUUUUUUAUUUGAAAAAAAUUAAACUUCUAAAUUUGUUAUCCUUAGGUCCAUCCUUAUGUUGCUAUUGGAAAUAAGAACUCUAAAUUUGGCAUCAGAAAUGAGAAGCUGCAAUGGUUCUUAGAUGUUGNGAAGGAGCAUCCUAAUGAGCUCAACAAUGACCAAGGUUAGAUGGAAAUUUUUAUCUUUUUGCUGAUUUUUUUUUCUUUUGGUAUAUUAAGUUAUACACCUCUUUUUACA